Molecule: ribosomal RNA, 460 nt
Filed under: uncultured bacterium
Lineage: Bacteria
Description: partial 16S ribosomal RNA
Rfam family: Bacterial small subunit ribosomal RNA
Source: RNAcentral
CCUACGGGUGGCAGCAGUGAGGAAUAUUGGUCAAUGGACGAGAGUCUGAACCAGCCAAGUAGCGUGAAGGAUGACUGCCCUAUGGGUUGUAAACUUCUUUUAUAUGGGAAUAAAAUGUUCCACGUGUGGGAUUUUGUAUGUACCAUAUGAAUAAGGAUCGGCUAACUCCGUGCCAGCAGCCGCGGUAAUACGGAGGAUCCGAGCGUUACCCGGAUUUAUUGGGUUUAAAGGGAGCGUAGGUGGAUUGUUAAGUCAGUUGUGAAAGUUUGCGGCUCAACCGUAAAAUUGCAGUUGAAACUGGCAGUCUUGAGUACAGUAGAGGUGGGCGGAAUUCGUGGUGUAGCGGUGAAAUGCUUAGAUAUCACGAAGAACUCCGAUUGCGAAGGCAGUUCACUGGACUGCAACUGACACUGAGGCUCGAAAGUGUGGGUAUCAAACAGGAUUAGAUACCCGAGUAGUC